AUACGGAGGGUGCGAGCGUUGUUCGGAAUUAUUGGGCGUAAAGAGCAUGUAGGCGGUCUGUUAAGUCUGGUGUGAAAGCCCGGGGCUCAACCCCGGAAGUGCAUUGGAUACUGGCAGACUUGAGUAUAGGAGAGGAAAGCGGAAUUCCGAGUGUAGGAGUGAAAUCCGUAGAUAUUCGGAGGAACACCAGUGGCGAAGGCGGCUUUCUGGACCAAUACUGACGCUGAGAUGCGAAAGCGUGGGGAGCAAACAGGAUUAGAAACCCCUGUAGUCC
This 274-nucleotide ribosomal RNA is filed under the name uncultured bacterium. RNAcentral describes it as "partial 16S ribosomal RNA". It matches the Rfam family "Bacterial small subunit ribosomal RNA", at positions 523 to 796 of the family's 1533-position model. The record is from RNAcentral.